Molecule: ribosomal RNA, 172 nt
Filed under: Ophichthus erabo (blotched snake-eel)
Lineage: Eukaryota; Metazoa; Chordata; Actinopteri; Anguilliformes; Ophichthidae
Description: partial 12S rRNA
Source: RNAcentral
UACCGCGGUUAUACGAGGGGCUCAAAUUGAUAUUUUACGGCGUAAAGCGUGAUUAGAGGAAACAAAUACUAAAGCCGAAUAUUUCCCUAACUGUUAUACGUUUUAAGAAACACGAAGCCCCGCAACGAAAGUAGCUUUAACCCACAACCUUGAACUCACGAAAAUUAAGAAA